Molecule: ribosomal RNA, 936 nt
Filed under: uncultured archaeon
Lineage: Archaea
Description: bacterial SSU rRNA
Rfam family: Archaeal small subunit ribosomal RNA
Source: RNAcentral
UUUCCGGUUGAUCCUGCCGGACCCGACUGCUAUUUGGGUGAGGAUAAGCCAUGCAAGUCGAAUGGGAUACCUAAAUUUCCCAUGGCAAACUGCUCAGUAACACAUGAUCAACUUAACCUAUAGAGAGAUACAACCUCGGGAAACUGAGGAUAAUAUUUCAUAGUUGAAUUGGCUUGGAAAAGUUUUUCAAUAAAAGGAAUAAGAAAAAUGGUUCUUAUUUGCUAUAGGAUAGGAUCGUGGUCGAUUAUGGUUGUUGGUGAGAUAAUGGCUCACCAAGCCGAUAAUCGAUAGGGGCCGUGAGAGCGGGAGCCCCGAGAUGGGUACUGAGACAACGACCCAGGCCUUACGAGGCGCAGCAGGCGCGAGACCUCCGCAAUACACGAAAGUGUGACGGGGUUACCCAAAGUGUUCAAUCUUGAACUGUGGUAGGUGAGUAAUGUUCCCUACUAGAAAGGAGAGGGCAAGGCUGGUGCCAGCCGCCGCGGUAAAACCAGCUCUUCAAGUGGUCGGGAUAAUUAUUGGGCUUAAAGUGUCCGUAGCUGGUUUAGUAAGUUCCUGGUAAAAUCGGGUAGCUUAACUAUCUGUAUGCUAGGAAUACUGCUAUACUAGAGGGCGGGAGAGGUCUGAGGUACUACAAGGGUAGGGGUGAAAUCUUAUAAUCCUUGUAGGACCACCAGUGGCGAAGGCGUCAGACUGGAACGCGCCUGACAGUGAGGGACGAAAGCCAGGGGAGCGAACCGGAUUAGAUACCCGGGUAGUCCUGGCCGUAAACGAUGCAUACUAGGUGAUGGCACGGCCAUGAGCCGUGUCAGUGCCGUAGGGAAACCGUUAAGUGUGCCGCCUGGGAAGUACGGUCGCAAGGCUAAAACUUAAAGGAAUUGGCGGGGGAGCACCACAAGGGGUGAAGCCUGCGGUUCAAUUGGAUUCAACGCCGGG